UUGAACGCUGGCGGCAGGCCUAACACAUGCAAGUCGAACGGUAACAGGAAGCAGCUUGCUGCUUYGCUGACGAGUGGCGGACGGGUGAGUAAUGUCUGGGAAACUGCCUGAUGGAGGGGGAUAACUACUGGAAACGGUGGCUAAUACCGCAUAACGUCGCAAGACCAAAGAGGGGGACCUUCGGGCCUCUUGCCAUCAGAUGUGCCCAGAUGGGAUUAGCUWGUUGGUGAGGUAACGGCUCACCAAGGCGACGAUCCCUAGCUGGUCUGAGAGGAUGACCAGCCACACUGGAACUGAGACACGGUCCAGACUCCUACGGGAGGCAGCAGUGGGGAAUAUUGCACAAUGGGCGCAAGCCUGAUGCAGCCAUGCCGCGUGUAUGAAGAAGGCCUUCGGGUUGUAAAGUACUUUCAGCGGGGAGGAAGGUGUUGKGGUUAAUAACCGCAGCAAUUGACGU
RNAcentral lists this ribosomal RNA (457 nucleotides) under Salmonella enterica subsp. enterica serovar Idikan. RNAcentral's name for it is "bacterial SSU rRNA". It matches the Rfam family "Bacterial small subunit ribosomal RNA", at positions 30 to 475 of the family's 1533-position model. Lineage: Bacteria; Pseudomonadati; Pseudomonadota; Gammaproteobacteria; Enterobacterales; Enterobacteriaceae. The record is from RNAcentral.